UGGAUUAGGCAUGCAAGUCGAACGCGAAAGGGGGCAACUCCAAGUAGCGUGGCGAAAGGGGCAGUAAUGCAUGGGUAACCUACCCUCGGGACCGGGAUAUACGGUGGAAACGCCGGGUAAUACUGGACGCCGUCUCGAAAGGACAUCCUUUUGAGAUGAAAUGGUUUUCCGCCCGGGGAGGGGCUCAUGUCCUAUCAGCUAGUUGGUGAGGUGACGGCUUACCAAGGCUACGACGGGUAGGGGGUGUGAGAGCACGACCCCCGCCACUGGCACUGAGACACUGGCCAGACUCCUACGGGAGGCUGCAGUCGAGAAUCUUCGGCAAUGGGCGCAAGCCUGACCGAGCGACGCCGCGUGGUGGAUGAAGGCCUUCGGGUUGUAAACACC
RNAcentral lists this ribosomal RNA (387 nucleotides) under uncultured organism. Its description in RNAcentral is "bacterial SSU rRNA". It matches the Rfam family "Bacterial small subunit ribosomal RNA", at positions 45 to 433 of the family's 1533-position model. The record is from RNAcentral.